UUCUAAUGCAUAACCAACAUUGAGAACCUCUUCCAUAAGUAUCUUCUAACUCCUAAAUGGAUUAGUGCCCAACUGGGCAUUUGUGUCCAUCAGAGUCUCCUAGCCACAUGGUUCAUCUCAAGAAAAUAAGUGCUAAACUUAGGAAGAACCUAGAGCAACUACCUAAGGACUGCUGGGACAAUGAGACGCUAAUAUGUUAUUGGAUCAAAUAGUGAAAGCGUCUUGAUGCUGUAAAAGCUGUACAAAUAUUAUUUCAAAUAAUCGACUACUCAUUUCAGGGCCAAAGACUCCAGAGGCUACCCUUCCCUCUGAGCCUUAUACUUGUCCCCCAAAAUAGUAUACAGGAGAGAAAAUGUGGCAAGAAA
Manis pentadactyla (Chinese pangolin) is the source of this 365-nucleotide long non-coding RNA. RefSeq lists it as uncharacterized. The record is from RefSeq and is a predicted model, not a curated record. The transcript is spliced from 3 exons. Lineage: Eukaryota; Metazoa; Chordata; Mammalia; Pholidota; Manidae.